CCUGCUACAUUCAUUUUUUUUAGAAAUAAAACUUAGCUGAAAAUAUGAAGCAGUUAGGCUUUAAACUUCGAACCUCUAGUACCAACUCUUUGUCACUUGCACUAGAAACAGUCGGUAUUAAAUAAUUUGGCCUCUAAACUUUAUUAAAUAGUUUAGUAGGCCUCUUCACUUCGGCAAAAUUAUGAAUGAAAUAGCCUUUUUGAUCUUAUAUCUUUCAAGUAAUUUUGUAUAAUUUUAUAACACAAAAAAAAAAUUUCUCUUAUAGUUUGAUAAUUAAUUAGGCAUCAAGAUUAAAGAAUAGGAUAAAUUGAUAGAUUUAUUUUUAUUUUUUGUUAAUUUUUCAUGUGUUAUAACAUAAAAAUGGACUUUUUUUGGGGGGGCAUUUUAAAACAUUAUAAGAUUAUCCCCAAUACAAGCGAACAAAACGUUAGAAUUAUAAUUAUCACACAAUUUUUAUUUAUUUUAUGGUUAAAAUACAACAUACUCUCAUGUAAAUACUUAAUUUUUUUAUUUUUUUCGACUUUUAAAAAUCUAUAUUUUACUCCCUUAAAAUUUCAAAUUAAUGCAUUUAGCCUCCGUUAGGGUUUCGUUAUUUAUAAUUCAUAUCGGAAAUACUACUAAAAAAAUAUAUAUAUAUUAAAAUUUUAUUUUUGUCUAAUAAAAUAAUUAAAGAUAAUUUUAACGUCGUAAUCUAUGAAAAUAAUUUUAAAAUUUUAAAAAAUAAAAUAUAGAUUUUUAAAAAUUAUGAGAAAAAAUAAAAAAAAUAGAUAUUUAUAUGAGAGUUUUUUAUCUUUAGCCUUUUUAUUAAAAGUUUUUAUACUAACACAUAAAAGGACAAAAAUAAAAUUUUAAUNUUAAAAGUUUUUAUACUAACACAUAAAAGGACAAAAAAAAGUAUUAUAGCAGUAAGCUUUUUAUUAAUAUUAUUAUUAUGUGUUAAUUUGCAAUAAAAUCAAUUACAGUGUUUUAGGUGAAAACUUUUUAAAAUGACUAUUUUGCCCUCCAUCAUUCUUAGGUUACUUAUUUAUCCACGCAACCAACCAUUAAUUACGAAAAUGCCCCUUCCCCACCGCUUUAACUAUACUGCUGGGCCCACCACCAUCACGAACCGCUAAUCUACAAUCCAACGGAUCACAAUCACCCAAGAAACCCUAGCAAUUAACCCAAUAAAAUACCCAAAAUACCCUUUCUCACUUGAAGUGGAUUACAUUUCUUUGUAUCACAAAAAUAUGCUCUAGUGGAGCCUCUGCAUAGGCAGGAUCAAUCCCUCGUCACGUGUUAUUUUUAUAUUUAUUUAAAAAUUUUAAUUUUUUAAAUUUAAAUCUUUUAAAAAAAUUGAAUACUAAAAUAUGUUAAAGAAAUUAUUAGAUGGAGGUAAAAUUAACACAUGACAGCGAAUCGAAGGCUCAACUGAAAUUUUAUCCUUGUUUGGGUUGUAGAAAAAUGUGAUUUUUUUCCCAAAAAGAAGGUUUUUUUUUUUCAGUUUUUCGUAAGUUUAGUUAAAAAAAAAUUAGUUUUCUCGUAAAAUUUUUAAAUCAAAUUAUAUGAAAAACUAAUAUUUUUAUUUUUCAAAAUAAUUUGUCAAACAGAAAACUGAUUUUUCAUGAAAUUUGGCAACAAACUUUCCAGAAAGCUAGCUUUUUUUCGGCAUGUUUGGUUGGCCGAAAGUGAGGCAUCAAAAGUGACAUUUUGGAAAGGUGACAUUUUAUCAAUUAUUUGAUUUGCGAAAGUGAAAAUAAAAAUUAUUUUACAAAAAUAGACUGAUAACUAAAUCUCACUUUUUUUCGAAAAAAAAAAAUCAUAUUUUUUUGGAGGAACCAAACAUUUUUGUUUGUUUUCUAGAAAAAGUAUAAAAAGAAUUUCUCUAAGGAAAAGUGUUUUUUUGGACUCCUCCAUUUGGUUGUAAGAAAAAUUAAUUUCUCAGAAAUUUUUUUUUCAAGAUUUUAUGAAAAAAAUAUUAUUUUCAUUUCCUAAUUUUUUGAAAAUAAAAAUACUAGUUUUUUGUGAAAUCUGAAAAAAGUUUUUUUUAAAAAAACUAGUUUUUUUUUUUUAACCAAAACGGGUGAAAGAAAACUAAAAAAAAAAGUUUUUCACUAACAUAUUUUUUAGAAAACGUUUUACUAUGCUCUUUCUAAUAGCCAAAUUGUAUAAGCAUUUACCUAGACGAACACAACAAUUAUUAUAUAAAUUGUAUACAACUUAAUACACAAGUUGUCACGUCUCGAAUUAUAGCCGAAGCUUUUUGAGCACGCUAACAGAUCCGCCCGCAUGCAAGGGAACACCAAGCACAUAAAAAGUGUAACACGACCUACAAAAGAAUCUCAUCCAAAUAUGAUUAUAAAUAAGAAAAACAUGUAGGUAGUUGUACCAGAACCAAAAUGUAAAUAUGUUAUCACAACUACGAUUAUAUUUACAAGUCUCCAACCGAAAACAUCAUUUACAUUCACUUUCUAUAUACAACUAACAAGUCCAACAUCAAAAGGGGCCUCCGAUAGAGCUCGUCCAGGAGGAGAAAGACUAUCUACCUCGAAAUUCCUUUACCAUGAUCGAUCACCAGCUGACGUACAUGACUCUGCAAAAAAAAUAAUGAUAGAAGGAUGUGAAAUAAACCAUUGAAAAAUAGUUUUUAAUGGAUACAGUCACAGAUAGCGACGACUUACGUCACUAGGUCUAUUCAAAGCAUCAAUAGUAUAAGCUAAAAAAAGAAGUAUGUGAUAAGUAAAUAUAGCGAGUUUUCAAAUAUUGUACUAUCUGAUAAGAAGGAUUAGAGAUAAAUCUCCACACUAAUUUUCAUUCAUAGUUUAUGGUACAUAUAUACAGGUGUGAUGACUAUGUUUGUUACAUUCAAAACUGAAUAACAAAUCAUCAAAAACUGAAUAACAAUUCAAUGGAGUUGGUUGAGAUAUUUUCUCAAAAUAAGUUUGUCCUUAUCCAUUAUCUUUAACACCCUCCUGCAAGCUGAUCGGCAUAGGAAUGACGGUAAGCUUGGAACGUAGCAUUUUGAACNACUUAGACACUAGUAAUAAUAACUGGGCUUAAGCAUUUUGGGCCGGUGGUUGGGCCCAACGAGUUAUUAUUGCUAGUGGGCUGGGUCGUUACACCAAGUUCGGUUCGUGCCUUCUAGAUUAUAGCCGAAAUCUUUGCUUCUGCAGAUUGAUCAAAAAUUUCUUCUCUAUAGUGCUCUGUGAGUUAUUUUAUUUUAUUUUGAUCCUAAAUUUUGGUAUUAUUUGAUUUUUUUUUCUUACUUUACAUACCUAUCACCUAGUUCUAACUUCCAGAAAAUCUGAUACUAAUUAUAGCUCAUGAUAGCCAUUCGGAAAUUGAUAGUCAAGUAGCUGAUUGAAAUAUACUGAAAGUUCAUAUACGAUUUUAUUUUAUUAUUUAUUCAGAUAAAAGCUUUAAAAGUUUGCUAGUGAGUGUAAUUGGACCAAAGUUCAAGAGUUCGAUAUAAUUUUCCCACAAAUCAAUUCAUCAUAUCAUAACAUUUUUGGAGAGCCUGUAUGGCUCUCCUAUUUUGAAGAAAAAGUUGCUCUCCUUGGUCAAAAUUUCAUUUCUCUAAGCGCAAACACAGGGAACAAUGUUAAGAAGGAUUAGAGAUAAAUCUCCACACUGAUUUUCAUUCAUAGUUUAUGGUACAUAUAUACAGGUGUGAUGACUAUGUUUGUUACAUUCAAAACUGAAUAACAAAUCAUCAAAAACUGAAUAACAAUUCAAUAGAGUUGGUUGAGAUAUUUUUUCAAAACAGGUAGAAUAGGUUUGUCCUUAUCCAUUAUCUUUAACACCCUCCUGCAAGCUGAUUGGCAUAGGAAUGACGGUAAGCUUGGAACGUAGCAUUUUGAACUUUGGUGAAGAUAUGCCUUUAGUCAUGACAUCUGCAAUUUGAGAUUCACUCGGGAUGAAGAGAACUCGUAAUUUUCGUUGGCGAACCAUGUCACGAACAAAGUGAACAUCAAUCUCAAUAUGUUUGGUACGACAAUGAAAGACUGGAUUAGCAGUUAAAUAGGUCGCACUAAUAUUGUCGCAAUAUAGUACCGGAGAAUUGUUGGAGGAUAUUUCUAAAUCUGAUAGAAGAUAUUGAAGCCAUUGGAUUUCAGCCGCAGCAUUUGCAAUACCACGAUAUUCAGCUUCCGUGCUUGAUCGUGAAACAGUUUUCUGUUUCUUAGCAGACCAUGAUACAAGAUUAGAGCCAAUAUAUAUAGCAUAACCAGAUGUCGAGCGACGAUCAUCAGGACAACCUGCCCAGUCAGCAUCUGAAUAACAAGAGAUAUCGAAGGAAUAAUUCUUCGUAAUGUGAAUUCCAUAAUCAAGAGUGCCUUUUAGGUAGCGCAAAAUUCUUUUGACAGUAUUAAAAUGCGAAGUGCGAGGUGCAUGCAUGAAUUGACACACCUGAUUGACUGCAUAAGUAAGGUCAGGUCGCGUAAAGGUUAAAUAUUGUAAGCCUCCAACUAUACGUCUAUAUUCAGUAGCAUCAGGUAGUAGAUCACCAUCAAAUAGAGAUAAUUUCGAUCCAGGAGCAAUUGGAGAGGAAAUUGGUUUACAUCCAUCCAUAUGGCAUUUACGGAGCAGACUAAGAGAAUAUUUUGUUUGAUUCAAAAAUAACCCCUUACGGUCCAACAUGGCAUGUAUUCCAAGGAAGUAAUUCAAGGUUCCUAAAUUUUUCAUAUCAAAGCGAACUUGUAAAUCUGUAAGAAGAUUGGCCAAUAAUGUCGCAUUACUUCCGGUGACAAUAAUAUCAUCCACGUAAACAAGUAAUAUGAGAAUGCCUGAAUUCAAUUUCUUAAUAAAUAAAGAGGAAUCUGCAGUGCUAGAAUGAAAACCCAAGUGAAGGAGAUAGCCGCUGAAGCUUUGAAACCAAGCUCGUGGAGCUUGCUUAAGACCAUAUAUUGCUUUGCGCAACCGACAUACGUGUGAAGGGUAUAAGGGAUCAACAAAUCCUGGAGGUUGUAACAUAUAUACCUCCUCAUUUAAUGUGCCAUGCAAAAAGGCAUUUUUAACAUCUAAUUGCAUAAUUGGCCAUUCUUUGGAGAGUGCAAGCGAAAGGACGAUACGAAUAGUUUGCAGUUUAACUACUAGACUAAAUGUAUCAUCGUAAUCAAGUCCUUCUUGUUGAUGAAAUCCUUUAGCAACCAAACGAGCUUUGAAGCGUUCAACACUGCCAUCAGAUUUUUGUUUAACCUUAUACACCCACUUGCAACCAAUAAUAUUGCAAUUUGACGGUGGAGGAACAAGUGACCAUGUCUGAUUCUUGAGUAAAGCAUUGAAUUCUUCUGCCAUAGCAUGGCGCCAUUGAGGAUCUUUAGAGGCUUCAGAAUAUGAUGUAGGUUCAGAAGGAAGCUCAUCAUUAGUAAUUUGCAAGCAAUAUUGGGGCACUGGGUGUCGAGAGGUAUGAAAAACCUUUGGUUUGCGUGUACCAUCUUUGCUGCAUGUUAUCAUGGGAUGACAUGUUCUUGUGGAGGUGUCAACAGGAUUUGUAGAAGGGACAGAUUCAACAUCUAAACUUGUGGGCUCUGGUAGAUUGGAUUGGGGAAGGCUUAUAGAAUCAAGAAUAGUAUCGGAUGGUUGAAUGUUUUGUGGAGAAGAAGUUAAUAGAGAUGGUGGACAAAUAGGAAAUGAGUACCUCUGUUGUUUGGGAAUGGAAUCAGGUGAUGUAGAAAUGGAUUUGGAAGACAACUCUGCAUAGGGAAAUCGUGACUCAUCAAAAUGAACAUGACGGGAUAUAAAGACGCGUCCAUCGGAUAAACUUAAGCAUCUAUAACCUUUAUGAUGAGGACUAUAUCCUAUGAAAACACAACAAGUAGACCUCGGAGUAAAUUUAUUCAAAGAAUAGCUGCGUAAAUAAGGAUAGCAAGCACAUCCAAAAACACGUAGGUGAUGAUAAUUUGGAGAAGUACAAAAUAGAGUUUCAAGAGGGGAUAGGUUUUGUAAGCAAGGUGUAGGUAAUCGAUUUAUUAGAUACACACUUGUUAAAAGGGCAUCAACCCAUAAAGUAGAUGGCGCUUGGGACUGAUAUAGAAGUGUCAAACCCAUUUCAGUUAUAUGGCGAUGUUUUCUUUCGGAAACACCGUUUUGUUCAGGCGUAUGGGGGCAUGAGAGUUGGCGAAUAAUUCCGCAAUUUUCAAGGUGUGUAACAAAUGUUUUAGAAAUAUACUCGCCACCACCAUCACUUUGCAAAAUUUUAAUUUUGGUGUUAAAUUGAUUUUCUACCAUUUUUUGAAAUUUAAGAAAGCAUGAAAAAACUUCAGAUUUAUUAUGCAUAGGAUAAAACCAAACAAAUCUACUAUAGCUAUCAAUGAAAAUUACAUAAAAUCGAUAGCCAGUGAUUGAAGGAACAGGAGAUGGACCCCAAACAUCAGUAGAAAUAAUUUCAAGAGGAGCAGAGGCCCUUUUAUUUAAAACUGGAAAAGGCAACUUAGUUUGCUUACUAGAAUAGCAACUAUCACAUAAAGAUUUGGAAUCGAACAUACUAGAGAAUUUUAUUGCAGCAUUCUUGUUUAAAUGAUUUGCCACUUGUUGUGAAGGAUGGCCCAGUCGUUGAUGCCAAAUAUUUGGAGAAGCCCUCUUUGUAGAAAGAAAAAUAGCUUUUGGAGAAUUGAGAGAAUAAAGACCAUUAUGAUGAGAUUCCUGUAGCAGAGUCAUUUUGUUUUCCUGAUCCUUAACAAAACAAGCAGAGGGGGUGAACUCAAGAGAACAAUUAUUUUCGCGAGUAAACUUGCUAACAGAGAGAAGGUUCUUUUUAAUAGAUGGUACUAGAUAAAUAUUUUUGAGGUGCAAAGGUGUAGAAGAGGUUGGAAGUUGAGAAUGGCCAAUGUGGGUAAUUUUUAAUUGUCGAAGAGCUCAUAUUGUAGUAGAGAGAAAAUGAAAUCUGGGUGUGAUGAAACAAUACUAGGCACUCUUAAUAGGUUAGAGAAGUGGAUAUGGCUCUGAUACCAUGAUAAGAAGGAUUAGAGAUAAAUCUCCACACUAAUUUUCAUUCAUAGUUUAUGGUACAUAUAUACAGGUGUGAUGACUAUGUUUGUUACAUUCAAAACUGAAUAACAAAUCAUCAAAAACUGAAUAACAAUUCAAUGGAGUUGGUUGAGAUAUUUUCUCAAAAUAAGUUUGUCCUUAUCCAUUAUCUUUAACACUAUCAUCAUGCUUCUGUACAAAUGAAAGCACUAAACAUAGGGAUACAUGUGUCACUAUGCCUCAAAUGAAAUAAGUGAUAACAAACAAUAAACUAAGACUAAUAAGUUGAGUUGGAUGAGUCUAAUAAGUUGAAUGGAUGUGUGGUCUACAAGAGACCUAACAGCAAGAGGCCCAACAAUAAACCCAAUAUUUCAGGUGGGUUGAAUCAGAUCGAAGCCCUGAAACUCACGAGCGCUGUGGUUGAGCUAGCCCUUAAGUGUGAUGGAUGCGUCAUUCCUAUCAGCACGUGUUUUUAGGAUAAUUAGUUAGCGCUUCAAGUAUCUCAGUUUAUGUACUCAAAUAUUAAAUUAAAUAUUCAAACAUACAAAAGAAAGAUUCAUAUAAUACACUCAAUUAUAUUAUAUUUAAAAAGAAAAACUUCAAAAGCCCCCUUAUGAUUUCGUAGUUUCUCACUUUGCCCCCAUAUGGUUUAAAAUGUAUCAAUUUGCCCCUCUGUGGUUUCUUUUUUCUCUUUUUCUUAUCAAUUUUAUUAUUUUUUUUCUUAAAUCAGUGAUAAAGUUAAAAUUAAAGGGUACUAAAGUAAAUAUUUGAUAAAUUUUGAUGGGUAUCUGAAGUUUUUUGUAUAUAAUUUAAUGAAAUAUUAACGAAAAAUCUACCGAAAAGAUAAAAACGAAACCAUAGGGAGGCAAUUUGAUACAUUUUAAACCACAGAGGGGCAAAGUGAGAAACUACGAAACCACAGAGAGGGUUUUUGAAAUUUUCCCUAUUUAUAAAUAAAUAUAUCUAUAGCUAGUCAGAGGCCACUAUAUAUUAAAUAAAAUGACUAUUUGUUCUCACUCUCGUCAUCCUAUAUUAAAUUAUUGAUCGAGAAUAUUAUGAAAAAAAAAAGAUUAAUUAUGUCAUAUUAAUUUGGUCACAAAAAAUAAUUAAUACUUGAUUUUGACACUUUUGUUGGCAUCACACUCUUUUAGGGCUAGCGUUGCUCUAAUAUAUUCUUAUUAUUUUUGUAACAUUCACAUAAAUAGUUAUUUUAGUAUAAUUAUAGUGCUCUAAUAAUUUUACAUCGGAUGAAAAUAAAAUUAUGAUUGAAAAUAUAAAAAAUUAUAAAUUCUAAUAACAAUAAUAAUAAUUGGAUUUAAGUAUUUUAAGCAAGGGUUAAUUUUAUACAGCUCCCUAUAAACAUAUCGAACAGCAAAUAUAUUCCUAUAAAAUUUAACUUUUCAUAUUUAUCCUUAUAAAAAUUUAUUGAUAUUUAUAUUUGCCCGUCUAAUUUGUUACCGUUAGAGUACUGUUUAUUUUUUAAUAUUUUUUUAACAGAAGAUAAGUGAAAUAACAUUUUUACUAUUAUAAAUAUGUCCCUUCAAAAAGCCCAAAUUGUUAGAAUUAUGAAGAAAUGCUUUUAAUAAAUUUUCAACGGCCAUUUCUUUCUUUCUACCAACACAAAUAAUAUAAGAUGGAUAAAAAUAUCAAUUUACCUCAUUUAUUAAUUAGGAUUAAAUAUUUUACCUAUGAUAUUUUAACUAUAUUUUCCUAACGGAUCCUAACAGCAGUGUCAUAUUUCAAAAUAUAGGAUUUUUGUAGGAGUAAAUAUAAAAAAUUGAACAAUAAAGGAAUAUAUCUGUUAUUCGAUAUGUUUACAGGAAGCCGCACGCAAUUAACCCUUUGAGGCAAUGAUUUGAGCUCAAUAAAUUAUUAUUGCUAGUAAAUCGAAUAAAAAUACAGGUACAAGUCAGAUAAAAAAAUAAAAUUUAAAUCCAUAAAUUACAUGCUCUACCUAUAAAAAUCGCACAACUAUAUUUCUAUUACUGUAAUUAUCAAGAUUUAAUGAACUUGUCCACCAAUUUUAAAAGGCAUUCAUACGGAGUGGUUGGUUUUUUAGAAAAGUAUGAAAAACUAUAUAUUUUUUUUUUUUGAGAAAAACAGUUUUCAAAAGAAACACUUAUUUUCAAUAAUUUAAAUAUUUUAGAUAAAAAUUUUAGAUCAAAAUUUUAAAUACCAUUCCUGUAGUUUCAUGUUUUCUCAUUUUAGUAUUUUGUAGUUGAAAAUGUACUACUUUAGUACCUGUCGUUUCGUUUUCUCUUUUUAUUAUCCCCUCUGUUAAUUCUUUCGUUAAAUCAAUGGCAAAGUUAAAACCACGUGAUACUAAAGUGAAAAUUCAGUAAACAAUAGAAUAUUAACGUGAAUAUUUGAUAAACUAUAGGUGGAGUAUCUGAAGUUUUUUGUGUAUUAUUUAAUAGAGAACUAACGGAGGUGCUGACAGAAAGAGAAAAAUGAAACUAUAAGGUACGAAAUUGACAUAUUUUAAACUAUAAAGUGCUUAAAUAGAAAAGCACGAAACCAUAAGGGGUUGUAUUUGAAGUUUAUCUUAAAUUUUUAUUUAAAAUUUAAACACAAGAAAAAAAUACACACAAUUUGUGCGAAUGGCAAUCUAGCAAUUAUCUCGAACUCCAAGGGCAAAAUCUCAGUAAACCCCCAAUUAUAUAUCUAUCCAUUCCCCUUCUCCCUCUCUCUCUCUCCAUUUCCUCUCCCUUCGAAUCCCCCAAAUUCUCUCUCUCUCUCUCUCUUCUCUCGAGGAUCCGGCGAUCGCCGUUCUCCGUACGCCGUUAUAACGGCGUUGCGCGUCGGAUCUCCACCGCCCUCCGUUAGAUAACGGCGAGCCCACCCCCCGCUUUUACCAUUUUACCCCCGCAUCUUUUGCCCUUUGCCAUUUCCCUUCUCUUUUUUAAACUUUAUUUUUACUCGGCGAUUUCGCGAUGUCGGGCGAGGCGACACGUGGCGCGGGGCGGAAGCGGAAGGACCCGGACCGGGGCGAGCCCGAACCCGAAAAGGGCUUCGGUUCGGGUUCGGGUUCGGGUUCGGGUUCGGAUUCGGGUUCGGAUCAGGUGCGGAGCGGGAACAAGCUCCUGGCCGGGUACCUGGCCCACGAGUUCCUCACGGAGGGCACGCUCUUCGGGCGGCGGGUCGAGCCGGAGCGGGCCGGGCCGGGGAAGUGGAAGGGGCCCGACCCGGUUCGGGGCGAUGGCCCGGUUCGGGCGUAUGCGGACGUGGCGUUCUUGUUGAAAGCGGAUGGCGAGGUCCACGUGGCGGGCGUUGUGAACCCCACGCAGCUCGGGCGCUGGAUCCGGAUGUGACGGGUCGGACGUUCACCGGUACAACUCACCCGUCAAAGUACGACACGUGGCGUGUAUCUUUAGCUUCUUUCUUUCUUUCUUUUUUCUUGUUUUUUUUUUCGGGUGAAGAUGCUCUAUUUUAUAUCGAAAAACGAAGGGUGCGAUGCUUUUGAUCUUCGUCGCGUACGUGAAUCUCGAGGUGAUGAGUCAUCCUACUACAAGAAACUCAAUCCACACCUAUGUAAGUUUCAAAAUUUUGAAUUUUACUCUAGUUAACUUAAACUUCUAAAUAACUUUUAAACUUCAAAAAUUUAAACACGUUGUAUAUUUUUACAAAUUUAAUCAGUAUAUUUUAUAUAAUUUAUAUAUUUAGUUUAGGUUUUUAUAAGAAAACGCAUGUUGAAAUUUAUAUAUAUUCAGGGGGAAACAAAAUUGUAGAGAAAUUAGGAUCUAUGUGUUAGGAAUAAUAGUUGCAUAUUAAGGACAAAAUGAAACUUUAAAUUAUUUGUACAUAAUUUGGAGAGUAUUCUAAUAACUUAAGCUUUAAAGAGAAACAAUUGUUUUAAACUAUGUGGUAUCAAAAUCCAAUUCACACUUUUUUUUUUUCUUUUUCUUUUUUGACAGUCCCAGUGGCUGUUACGUGGUCGUGUGAUUGCAUUGGGUCAAUAGCAAAUGCAAGUAGUUUCUAACAUAGUUAGUUAAUUCUGAAUCUCUGAUUCGACAAAAAUUCGGUACGGAUAUAAUACGCAUAAAAUUUAUUUUCUAAUUUUUAAAUUCGUUGAAAACUUUGGCUUAAAAAACGGAUUCGGUAUAAAAUAUAAAAUAUAAAAUAUAAAAUAUAAGAUAAUAUAUAUUUUAAAAUAAAAAUUAUAAGUUUUUUAUUUAUAUUUUCAAUAAUUCGCGAAUUAUUCGGCUAGACCAAAAAUUCGCGAAUAAUUCUCUUUCUUUAAAAAAAAAUUCGUAAACAGACCGUUUAAUUCAGAUUUUCAAUAAUUCACGAAUAAUUCGCGAAUUAAAUAACUAGGAUCAGAAUCCAAUUCAUUAUAGGAAUUAACAUCAUUAAUUCUCAUCACAAAGAGAGAGAGUGAGAGGACGAACAAUACCAACAAUUACUACUUGGAACUUCCUCCAGGGUGUGUUUGGUUCGCGAUUGAAAUUAAAAUCGAAAUAAAUUCAGAUCGUACUGAGCUAGUACCGUGCCACUUUAAAAACCGAAAUCGAAAAGAUCUCUCUCUCUCUCUCACAAAUCAUAAUCCUUUUCGAAUUUAGGAACGAAAACAAGCGCGACAACAACGAAAACAAUUUCGAUUCAGAUGUAAGAAUGACAGGUUCAGUAAACUGGUUCAAUCUUUCGCGUCGACGACGGCGCGCUUGAUAGUCUCUGCACUGUUCUUGAUGGGGUCCUUCACUUCUUCGACCUUUUCGGCCACCGUAUCCUUCACCUUGUGGAAGGUCUCCUUUGCCGCCCCCCAGGCGCCCUGCGCCGUCGCCUUCGCGCUUCCUCCGCUGUUCUGCGCCGCCCCGAUCGCCUUUCCUGCUGCCUCUAUUGUUUUCUCGAUAACCUGACAUUCAAACAUGGAUGUAUACUUAGUGAUCAACAACAUUUGUUUCACAUUCCAUGUCAUUUUUGUUGAAAAUAAGGUUGUUAUGCAGUUUCAAGUUGUUAUGCAGUUUCAGCAUAUAUUUCUCCUAUUCCUUUGUAACUAUUCCUUCCAGUUGUAUCUCCUAUAAUUGUGGAGAUAAUAAUGAUAGGAAUUUUAUGUAUAUAUAUCUUGUAUGUUAUCAAUAGAAGGAUGAAUGGGAAUUAUUCUAGAAACCUUUUUAAUAUGGUAUCAGAGCCAACUCUGAUUACCUCUCUGUUACCCUAGGAAUCAGAGUUUGGUUUCUUUCUAAUGACUACUCCAGAUAAUAGUAGUCCUAAACCUAUGAAGGAGGAGGCUCCUGCUAUGUCUACUCUUCAUAUGCAGGAGUUGUCCUCAUCACUUACCCCUGAACGUCUUGAUGGUACCAACUACAUCGAAUGGUCCUUAAAUGCAGAGAAUAAAAUCAGAGGCAGAAAACGUUGGGGCUUCAUUUCUGGAAAAAAGUUUGCACCAGAAGAUAAAGAUUCUGAAGAUUAUGAAACCUGGGAGGAUGAAAACUGCAUGGUCAAGUCUUGGCUUUUGGAUGCUAUGAAUAAAGAUAUUAGAUCACUUUUCAUCCGCUUACCGACAGCCAAGGAGAUCUGGGACACUGCAAAGAAAACAUACUCGGUAAGUCAAGAUGCAUCCAGAGCAUAUCAAUUAUAUUGUGAGAUAACCUCUGUUCGUCAGAAUGGAGGAUCCGUUAUCUCUUAUUUUGGAAAACUUCAAAGGCUUUGGCAGGAACUUGAUGCUAUUGAAAACUGCACAAUGGAAUGCUCGAAGGAUAUUGAAAAGUACACCACUAAGGUGAACUCUCAACGUGUGUAUGUUUUCUUGGCUGGACUUGAUUCUCAUCUGGAUGGAGUUCGUGGCCGAAUCCUUGCCACUAUUCCUCUUCCAGAUAUCCAAACCGUCUAUGCAAAUGUCUGUGCUGAAACAAAUCGCCAAGAAGCUAUGUUACAUGGAGCAUCAAAUGAAGGGGCUGCUAUGAUUGCAAAAAAAUCCUCUAAAAAAGGAAUUCGCAAGUGUACUUACUGCAAUGGUGAUAAUCACUUGGUCGAAACCUGCUUCAAACUUCAUGGAUAUCCUGAAUGGCACCCUAAAGGCAAAUCUGGAUCAAAGAUAGAGAGCUCCAAAAAUAAUUUAGCGCCUACUACUGCUGCCGGUCUUAUGGCCAAGUCAGGUAUAUCUAACUCUGCCUAUAGUUCUUCUGUUCUUACUAGGACCAGCGAUUGGAUAAUUGAUACAGGUGCCACUGAUCAUAUGACUUGUGACCGUUCCAAGUUCACAAACUUGUCAUCUAAUAAUUCCAAACCUGUUAUUGCUAAUGCAAAUGGCAUUUCUUCCCCAGUUACAGGAGUGGGUACUGUUCUUAUAUCACCCUCCUUAUCCGUUUCUAAUGUCUUGUUUGUUCCUUCACUAAAUUGCAAUCUCCUCUCAGUCAGCCAAUUAACCAAGUCUCACAAUUGUGUUGUCAUAUUCUUUCCAACUCAUUGUGUCUUACAGAAUAUCCAUACCAAGGAGAAGAUUGGCAGUGGUAAAAGGAGUGGAGAUUUGUACUAUCUAGAAGGUGACUUUCAGCACACAAAUGGAGAAGUUCGGGCCCACCUUAUGAGUGACACCUUGCAGAAUAAAAAUAAAGAAACAAUUUGGCUAUGGCAUAGGCGAUUAGGACAUCCUUCUUUUGGUUAUCUUAGGAAAUUAUUUCCAUCACUGUUUUAUAAUUAUAAUCCUUCAGAUUUCAAUUGCGAAACAUGUAUAAUGGCCAAAAGCCAUCGAGCCAUCUUCCCCUUGAAUAAUACUAAGGUUAAUACACCUUUCUCCCUUAUACAUACUGAUGUUUGGGGCCCCGCCCCACUACCCACUCAUAAUGGAAUGAGAUGGUUUGUUACCUUUGUUGAUGAUUGCACGAGGAUGACUUGGGUAUAUUUGCUAAAACAUAAGAGUGAUGUGUGUAAAGUCUUCCUUCUUUUUCAUAAAAUGGUCAAUGUUCAAUUUCAGGCUAACAUAAAAGUUGUUAGAUCUGAUAAUGGGGGGGAAUAUUUUCAGCAGGAAUUAAAAAAUUUCAUGGAUUCUUCUGGCAUUCUCCAUCAUACAUCAUGCCCUAACACCCCCCAGCAGAAUGGAGUUGCUGAGCGGAAAAAUAGGCAUUUAUUAGAGGUUACUAGAUCAUUGCUAAUUGGUGGAAAUGUUCCAUCCUACCUCUGGGGAGAAGCCGUAAGUUCUGCUGUUUAUUUAAUCAAUCGUAUUCCCUCGAGUGCUCUAAAUUUCAGGAGACCAUUAGAUGUUUUUUCUGACCAUUGCACUUUACCUCCAAUUGCACAUUUAGAACCCCGCACCUUUGGUUGCGUCAUAUAUAUCCACUUGCAUUCACACCAACGUAGCAAACUUGAACCACGAGCCAUGAAAUGUGUAUUUGUAGGGUAUAGUAUGACACAAAAAGGAUAUCGAGCUUAUCACCCAACAUCAAGACGAUUUUAUGUCUCGAUGGAUGUUACAUUCCAUGAACAAGACUUAUUUUACUCUACAGGAGUUACUUGUUCUUUACUUCAGAGGGGGAAUGAGAAUGAUGAAGUGCAGAAUCGCAACAUCCAAGAUAUAAUAUUACUUGAUAUGGUAGCUAAAGUUGUACCCAAUGUAACUUCUACCGAGUCCAUUGAGUGUUCAACUGAAAUUCAGAACAAUGAUGGUACAAGACAUCCCACUCCAAUACCACUGAUCCAAUCUACACCAGAAAAUUCACUUGAGGUAUCAUCUGAUCAUGAACUUACUAUGCAUGAAACUGAUAUUGCUGAAAUUCUUGAUACACCCAGUCCUACUCCAAGUUCUACUCCUGUUAUAUCUAAUCUCCAUGAGAACACUUGUGCAUCUGAUUCUACCUCUAUUGUGAGUCAAUACCAUCUUCCAUCUCGUUCUAACCGUGGACAACCUCCAAUCAGGUAUGAACCCGAUCUAAAAUCCAAGGCCAAAUACCCCAUAGGAAAUCAUGUGUCAUCCCACAAGUUGUCCAGAUCAUAUGCAUUGUUUGUAUCUCAAUUAUCUGCUGUCUCUAUUCCUAGUAAUUUACAGGAAGCUCUAGCAGACUCUAGAUGGACCCAGGCUAUGGAAGAAGAGAUGGCAGCAUUAAAAAGGAAUACUACUUGGGAACUUGUCCCAUUACCAACAGGAAAGAAAACUGUAGGAUGUCGGUGGAUAUUCACUGUCAAGUAUAAAGCUGAUGGAACUAUUGAGAGAUACAAAGCCCGGUUAGUUGCAAAGGGCUAUACUCAAUCCUAUGGACUAGAUUAUCAAGAGACAUUUGCACCAGUUGCAAAACUCAAUACUGUGAGAGUGCUAUUGUCAUUGGCAGCAAAUCAAAAUUGGCCACUACUCCAAUUUGACGUUAAAAAUGCUUUUUUACAUGGAGAAUUGAGUGAAGAGGUUUAUAUGGAUCCUCCUCCAGGCAUACCAGAAUACUUGAAUACUCCUAUGGUAUGUAGAUUAAAAAAGGCUCUCUAUGGGUUGAAGCAGUCUCCAAGAGCUUGGUUUGGCAGAUUUACCAAGUCAAUGAAGAACUUCGGCUAUAAACAAAGUAAUUCAGAUCACACCCUCUUCCUAAGGCAAAGACAAGGUAAAAUUACUGCCUUGAUUAUCUAUGUUGAUGAUAUGAUUGUAACAGGAGAUGAUUAUGAGGGUAUUUCUAGUUUACAAAAUCAUUUGGCUUCUGAAUUUGAGAUGAAACAACUUGGAGACUUAAAAUAUUUUCUAGGAAUUGAAGUAGCUCGAUCAAAACAUGGCAUCUUCUUAUCUCAAAGAAAAUACACUAUGGAUUUGUUAUCUGAGACAGGUAUGCUUGGGUGCAAACCGGCUGACACUCCCAUGGAACAAAAUCACAAGUAUUUUUUAUGCUCAAGUGCAGUUAGUACUGACAAAGGGAGGUAUCAGAGGCUUGUUGGGAGGUUGAUUUAUUUGACACAUACCAGACCCGACAUAGCAUACGCAGUAAAUGUUGUGAGUCAGUUUAUGCAUGACCCACGAAAACCUCAUAUGGAUGCAGUAGAAAGAAUAUUGAGGUACCUAAAAUCUACUCCAGGCAAAGGAAUAUUGUUUUCAAACCACGGACAUCUCAAGGUAGAAGGCUACACUGAUGCUGAUUGGGCAGGUUCAGCUGACAAUAGAAGAUCCACUUCAGGAUAUCUUACCUUUGUAGGAGGAAAUCUUGUAACCUGGAGAAGUAAAAAACAACCUGUAGUAGCAAGGUCUAGUGCUGAGGCAGAAUUUAGAGGUAUGGCAUUUGGAUUAUGUGAAUUGUUGUGGCUUAAGAAUUUACUAAAGGAGCUGGGAUUUGGACAAAAUGAAGCCAUGAAACUUCACUGUGACAAUACCUCAGCAAUAGAAAUUGCCCAUAAUCCUGUCCAACAUGACAGAACUAAGCAUGUAGAAAUUGACCGCCAUUUUAUUAAAGAGAAACUUGAAGCGGGGAUUAUUACUUUUCCAUUUGUAAGGUCUGAACAUCAACUAGCAGAUGUCCUUACCAAAGCAGUAGCUGGUAGUGUUCUGGAUGAUUCCAUUGUCAAGUUGGGAAUGUGUGAUAUCCAUGCACCAACUUGAGAGGGGGUGUUGAAAAUAAGGUUGUUAUGCAGUUUCAAGUUGUUAUGCAGUUUCAGCAUAUAUUUCUCCUAUUCCUUUGUAACUAUUCCUUCCAGUUGUAUCUCCUAUAAUUGUGGAGAUAAUAAUGAUAGGAAUUUUAUGUAUAUAUAUCUUGUAUGUUAUCAAUAGAAGGAUGAAUGGGAAUUAUUCUAGAAACCUUUUUAAUAAUUUUUAUGCAUUUCUAUUCAGGUUCCUAGUUAGUUCAAUUUCAUAUUUCAGAGCCCAUUUCCUACAAAAUUGAUAUUUUGUAUAACAUGGUAUCAUAACUAAUUCUAAACUCUUUCAUUCUAUGAGAUCGUGCGUGCAAUUCCCACUUUAACACAUGCAUUUUUAUAUCCGUCGUGCGCGUAUAGGUUAUAUCUCUAUCUUAUAUCUCAUCUCAUCUAUUAAUACAUGAGUGGAAUGUUAAUAUAUAUAUAUUUUUGGACCUAUUUUUUACUAUAUUAAUUAAUUACGUAACUAGGAGUGUUAACAUAUUUAUAGAUCUGUUUUUUAUUAGAUCAUUUUUUUUGGGUAAUAAGAUAUAUUGCAUUAGUAUAUUUGACGAUCUCAUCUAUUAAUUUCAUACGCUUUUUAUAUCUAUCAUGCACGCGAGUAAAAAUAUUUUUUUCGAGAGAUAGGUAGCACGCUACCCGUUUCGUUUAUUUCAUUUAGAAAUAAACUUAGCUGGAAAUAUAAAUCAACUAGGAUUCGAACUUGGGACCUCGGGUACAACCAUCAUGUAGGGGUGUAAACGAGCCGAACACGAGCGAGCUAACCCCAGCUCGUGCUCGACUCGUUUAAUAAACGAGCCGAAAAAUUCGGCUCGCGUUCGGCUUGUUAAUACGGCUCGUUUAUUAACGAACCGAACACGAGCUAGCUCACGAGCUGGCCAACAAACAAUAAAUUAAAAAUGAUUAGAUUAAAUAUAUAUAAAAAAUAAAUUUAUCAAAUCUUACCUAUUAGACUUUAAUCUAAUAGUUGAAACUUUAUAUAUAAAUGAAUCUUUUUAUAAUUAAGGUCGCAUUUAUAUUUUUAUUUUGCUAAAAAUAAAAUAAUAAAAAUAUAUAUUAUAUAUAAUUAUUUAUUUAUAUAUAAAAAUAUAAAUUAAAUAUAAAAUAUAUGUAUUAAUAUAAAUUAUGAUAAUUAAAUAUAAAUUAUAUAAAAAUAAUAAAUUAAAUAAUUAUAUAAAUAUAAAAUAUAUGUAUUCGAGCUAUUAUCGAGCCGAACACGAGGCGAUGCUGACCCCAGCUCCGUAUUCGCUCGUUUAUUAACCGAUCUCGAGUUUAUUUCAAGCCAACACGAGCCGGCUCGAAACAGGCUGGAUUGCCACCGCUACCACCAUGCCUUUGCCAUGCGAGUAAAAGUGUUAAUAUAGAUUUUUGACCUAUUUCCUAUUAAUCAAAUCUUUUAUAGGAGGGGGUGGGGGGGGGGUUGGGCUUAAGUAAUACUAUGCCUAAGGCCAGCCCAAAAAAAUGUUGGGCUUUGGGUCAGGCUUUUACCUUUUUUUAAAAUAUGGCUCGGUCCAAGCCCAAACUCAAGCCCAAUAACCAAUACCCAUCGGGAUUUGUGGAGGCUCAUUUUAUACAUUUAUUAUAUAAUACAUAAAUACUUUUAUUAUAUAAAAUUAAAAUAAAAUACCUAUUUUUAUUGGGUUUGAUCAUAUCAAAGAAAAUUAGUAACUAACAUCAAAUAUAAUACCAUUAAUGUCUACCGAUAAUUAUCCACCUGUGUAAGAUAGGAACUUCUCAUGUAAGGGUAAAAAUAUAGAACGUUAAUUAAUUAGCGUAUAUGUGGUUUUAUAAAAGAGUAUUCUGGUAUUUAAAAUUUUAAAAUUAUCCUUAAGUUAUGUACAUAGAACAUCUAAUUAAUUUUUUUGAAAAUUUUAAAAUAAUAUAUAUUUAUUAAGUGUUAUGUACAUAACUAAUUAGCUAUAUAUAAUAAUAUGUACCAUACCAUAUAUUUAUUCAUAAAUAUGUAUAAUUAAUUUAUAUAUAAUAAUACUAUUUAAUAUAUCAUAAUAUGAAACUAAAUAUUUUGUUAAUAUAUAAUACAUCCUCAUAUAUAUAAAUAUAUAUCAUUAAUAACAAUAUAUACUAUGAUAUAUUAUAUCAUUUAUUUUUUUAUUGAUAAAUACUAUAUAUAUAAUUAAAUAUUUUAUUUUGAUAAUUAAUAUAUCAGGUUUUUGGGCCAGGCUCAGGCUGGGUUUGGACAUGCCCAAAUAAGCUUAAAACUUUUUCGUGCCUAAAUUUUUAAACCUGGCCCGAAUCCAAAGUUAUGUUUUUAAUACCCAAAGCUCCGCCCAAAUACGACAGUCCCAAUUCCACCGCUACUUUUAGGUAACAAAAUAUAUUACUUAUCUAUAUUUGGCGUCCGUGUUCAUAUGAAUUUCUGGACCCGUUUAGGGAUGUCAACAAGUCAAAUUCAGGGUAGAUUUUCAAAAAUCUAAAUCCGAACCCGACUCCCAACCCAAAAUCCGAAUCCGAAUCCGAACCCGAACCCGAACCUGUCGAAUUUUAAAAAUUCAUAUCCAAACCCAAACCCAAUCAAAAAUCCGAAACCUGAACCCGAAAAUCCGAACCCAAAAUAAUUAUUUCUCUUUUUAAUAUUUCAAAAUAUAUUUUAUUAAAUCUAAAUUUUUAAAAUAUAAAUUCAAAUAUAACAUCAAAUUUUUAUAUAUAUAUUAUAUAUAAUGUAAAAUAAAUUUGGGUUUGGAUCGGAUUCGGAUCGGGUUCGGGUUUGAGUCGGGUACAGUCAAAACCCGUAUCCAAAUUCAUAUCUGUCGAGUUUUGUUUUUAAUAUAAAUAUCCGAAACCAUAUCCGUUUAGCAUUUUGGAUAAAUCCACUCCGUUCAGGUUCCGGUAAAUUUUCGGAUAUUUGUACUCAUUGACAUCUCUAGACUGUUUUCUCCUCCAUCAAAUUUUUGAGUAACAAGAUAUAUUACUUUACUAUUUCUAAAAUAUAAAAUAAAACUAUAAAAUAACAAUACAGUAAAAUUACGCUAAACAAACAAAGAGGCUUAUCUAAAGCUCAAUUGACAACCUGAUCGGCAGCCUCAUUGACUUUCCCCCUGAGAUCUUCUGCUGUCUUCUUCAGCUCGCUAGAUGCAUCUUUGAUGUUCUUGUGGGUCUCCUUAGCCUCCUUCUCUGCGCUCGCCUAAUAAUAAAUAAAGAAAAAUUCAAAUUAAAAAAUUAAUUAUUUCUCAACAAAAAUAGUCGUAAAAUCUGCGUAUUUUUUUUCCCUUUUUUUCAAGCAAUUAUAUAUAUAUAUUUCUUCUACUUAGGCAUUACAUAGAAAUGUACUGAGAUGUGCUAAAUUUGCAAUAUUAUGUUUAAAACAAUAAUAAUGAAUAGAAAUUUUUUGUUUGAAUGAGUUGUGAUAGAUAUGUCAUAUUUUUGGACUCGCUCACCUGCAGAGGCCGUGUAACCGCGGUAAAAAAAGUCCUCGGAUUCCGCGCGAUUACUCUAACCAUGGUUGAGCCAAAAUUUAUCAACUUGGGAGUGGCUACACUAAAAGCCAUACCCCUCCCUCUCUCUCUCUCUCUCUCUCUCUCUCUCUCUCUCUCUCUACCCUUUUUUGAAUCUUUUGCUUGCUUUUUUUUUUUAAAAAAAAAUUUUAGUUUUAGACAAAAACCCCACAACUUAUUGUAGGGAGAAAGGGGGAGGAAUAACUGAAUUGCCACGUGGCACCAAGUGGAGAGGUGUGAGUGGUGGGUCCGGUUCCUGCGGCUCCAUUGGUUGGUUGGUGCCUUGACUUUUUCCAUCAAUCUUUUUAAAUUGUUUUAAAAAAUAAAUAAAUUGGGGGGAAAAAUUGUCUUUGCAAUUAGGCAUGCAAAUGAAUUCGGGCUUGUGGGGCUCCCGCUCUGAUCCGCUAGGAAUGAAGUGGUAACUGGUAAGUAAAAACCAAAUAUAUGAAAAAAUAAAAUUCGUCUUGAAUCCGGUUUGAUUAGGAAUGUAAAAUGGGUCGGGCGACCCACGAAAGUGGGCCGGGCGUAGGCACGACAUGGGUACGUUAGAACCCGUGCCGGGCCGGCCUGAUCGUGCUGGACCAAUAAAAUUGAGCCCGUCGACCGUUACGAGCCUAGGCAGUGCCGUGCCGAUAGUUUAGCAUACGACCCGGCACGACACGACCCACAUGGGCCGUGCCUGUCGGGCCAGCACGACGCGGCCCUGGCCCCAACUCCCCAAGCUGAACAUUGGGACUUGGGUCUCCAACUCUAGCUCCCCGAGUCCCAUGGGAGAGGAAAUGAAGAGCUUAGGACCCUAGAUCCUCCUUCGUAGAGGAAAUUUUUAAAUAAUUUUUCAAAAUUAUUUAAAUUUUAGUAUUCUCUAAAUAUUUUAAUAAAUUUUAUCUCUUAGCCAACAAAUUAGCAAAAAAUGACUUUUAUUUUUUUAUUUUUGAAAAUUUUAUAUAUUUAAAAAAUAUAAAAAAUAUUAGAGGGUUGGCCCGGAGCCCUGCCUGGCCUGUGACAUCCGGGCUGGAGGGUCAUGCUGGGCCGACAAUCCAUAAAAUCUGGCUCGGCAUUAGCACGGCCCAAAUUUUAAUUGGGCCGGGCCGGGCUGAACCUUGGCCCGAUCGGCACGGCCCACAUUACACCCCUAGGUUCGAUCCACCAAGAAAAUGAAGCAGAAGGUGGGGGACUCCCUUCUUCCUUUGAUUCGUCGCGAUCUACUUCAAAUGGAGCGGUGAAUGAAGGUAAAAAAUAGGAUAAAAAUUAACCCAUUUCAAAUCAGUCCCAACCCCACAAGAAAUGAUGCGAGAGGUGGAAAAACUCUUCUGCCUAGAGGUCCGCAUUGUUUGCAAAUCUUUUUAUACUUUUAACCUAAAUACUUUAGUUCAUAAAUAUAAAAAAUAAUAUAUAAUUUUGGUAAACCUGUAUAAAACUUAUUUGAACUACAGGUUAUUUUGAUUCGACUGUCCAAUCUUUUAAAAUUUUGAUUUAGUAUCGAGAUUUAAAUAAUAAUGGCUCUUCAAAUGCAAAAUUUAAUUAAGCACCCCACCACCCCCAUUGUAUUUAUAUAUACAUAUACAUAUACAUAUAUUAAAAAAAAGAAAAACUUCAAAUACCAUCCUAUGGUUUCGCACUUUUUUACUUUAGUAUUAUGUGGUUUAAAGUGUAUCAAUUUAAUAUUCUGUGGUUUCACAUUUUUUUUUUUUCGCCGGCUCCUCUAUUAAUAUUUCAUUAAAUUAUAUAUAUAUAAAACUUUAUAUACCUUAUCUAAGUUUAUCGAAUAUUUAUUUUAGUACUUUUUAUUUUUAACUUUGUCACUGAUUUUUUUUUCCUCCGUUAAUAUUUCAUUAAAUUAUAUACAAAAAAACUUCCAAUACCCUACCUAGGUUUAUCGAAUAUUUACUUUAGUACUCUUUAUUUUUAAUUUUGUCACUAAUUUUUUUUUCCUUUGUUAAUAUUUCGUUAAAUUAUAUACAAAAAACUUCAGAUACCCUAUCUAGGUUUAUCGAAUAUUCAGUUUAGUAUCCUUUAAUUUAAACUUUGUCGCUGAUUUGACGAAAAAGAUUAGUGAAAUAAAUAAUAAAAAGAGAAAAAUGAAAUCAUAGGAUACUAACUUGAUACACUUUAAACCAUAGGGUACUAAAGUGAGAAAGUGCGAAACCAUAGGGACUAAUUUGAUACACUUUAAAUUAUAAAGUACUAAAGUGAUAAAAUGUCAAACAACACCAGGGUAUUUGAAGUUUAUCCCCCAAAAAAAAGAAAAAAAAAAAAAAGCCCCAUGCAUGCUAUUUUAUCAAGAUAUGCACGGAUCACGACGCUUCCGGAAGAAGCACUUUUUCUCCUCCGCUCGGUGACGUCGAAGCGCUUCCUCUUGAAGCUCUCGGGGCCCCAAUAACCUCCCCCCCUUAUAUAAUCCCCCAUCCCCUCCCCUCCCCCGCCCCUCUUCUUCCCCUUCCCCCUCGCCGGAGCGAUGGCGGAGAACGGCGGUGCGCCACCGCGAGGGGCGGCGGAGGCGUCGUCGCCGACCUCCGCAGGAGCCGUAGCCGACGGCGGCGGCGGCGGCGCAGCCCUCGACGACCUCGCCAACCACCGAUUCAUAUGCUGCGUCUGCUUGUGAGUUCCCCUCUCCCCCCACCUCCUCCGGUUCCGCACCGGAUUUCCUCGAUUUGAGAUGGAUCGUGUGAUCUCAGUGCGAUGUCGGCGUGAUACGGACGAUUUUUAGGGCUAAAAUUUGACCCGUGCAAUUUCGUUGAAGCGAUCCCCGUUCUAAUCGGGAUGCUUCUAGGGCGAAGAUUUGAUCCGUGCGAUUUCUUUCGAUGCGCUUGUUGUCUUCAACUAGGGUUUCUUUAGUUGAAUUGGGGGGAUUGGAAUAAACAAUUUUAGAAUCGUAGCAUGACCGGAUGUUGACUAGUUCUCCGAUGCACAUAGCUUUGCAGAAUAAUCAUAUGGUAUUUUAGGCUGUUUUCGUCGACUAGAGGGCUGUAAUUUGAACAAAAUGUGAUCUAGCUAGACUCUUCAACAACCUUUUAAUUACAGCAAUAGAUUAUCUUGGUCUGCAUAUGUCAUUGUUGACUAAUUAAUUUAUUCUUUUUUAUUUUUUCAAUUGAUGUAUAGUUUCCCACUCUGUCAAUGCACAAUGAUGCUCGUCGUAGGGAAAUAAAGGAAAAUAAAGGAAAAUUAUAACUGCAAUAUAUGCGAGCAGCUAAUGAAGUAUAAUAUGCAACUUCGUAGGUUGAAAAUUGAACAAACUAGAAUGAAAGAAUUGUUGACUAACCAGUGAUCUAAAAUGUGGUAUGCGGUAUGUGGGCAGUCGAUCCAUUGCAUAGUGCAUAUGCUGUAUGUUGGUGCAUAUGCAGGCGUAUAUACGGUUCAUCUAUUAAAUUUUUUUUAAAAAAAUCAUAUAUAAAUGUAAAAAAUAACUAAUAUAUAUAUAUAUUUAAGAAUAGGAACAAACGUGGAAUAAAUUGGCUAAACUUUUGUGAAGAAUAAUAGUUUUUUUUUUUUCACGAGGUGGUAUUCACGAUCCCUUGUAGUCAUCUAAUAGGCCAAAUUGCCACUUAACAAAGAUCUAGCAUUAUAACAUCUAACAAGUACAAACAUAUUCGCCAAUAUUUAUAAACGUAAUUAGUUGAUAUAUUAGGAAUAAUAGCAACUAAAAUAAGAAGAGAGAUAGUUGGUAAUGGGUUAUAUUUAAAAGAAGAUAAGUACAGUUAUAUGCAUCAUAUUAACCAAAAUUGUAUAAAAAUAGUCAUAUGUAUAUGUAUAAUCUUUGACCAAACAUUUCUAUUCAACAUUGCAUUUCAAUCCUACCUUUAAAACAAAAAAGAAAAGAAAGAAAGGAAAACUACCACGUAUAUGGUAUGACUGUAUACUGUAGUGCACAUAUGCGGUGCAGUUGAUGGUCCCACCGCAUAUGCAGCCGCAUUGGCCGCUUUUUGGAACAAUGGGACUAAUGAAUCAAAGAUAAAUGUUACAUCUUGUUGCAGAAAUUAAUUACGGAGAUUUAUGGUUUAUGUAGAAAAUUUGCUGCUGUGUUAGAACUAUGCCAGAAGGAUGCAUGCAAAAGAAGCAUGUGUUCAAGGUCAUAAAGGAAACAGAAGACUAUUUGCUGAUGUGAAAGAAAGUGUUCCAUGCAAAUUGGAAGUCUAAACAAUCUCGCGUGGUAUAGAAGAUCAACCAUUUAUAGUUGCACAAUCUUGUGGGACUUGCUAAUUGUGCAUAAGGAAUAUACCAAAUGACUACAAAUUGGACUACAAGCUGAACUUCAUAAAAAUGACUACAAAUUGGACUACAAGCUGAACUUCGCAAAUUCCUUCUAGGUAAUUGAGUUAUUCUUCUUCCAAACUGACUUUCAAAAAGAAUAAACAUAUGAGGUCUUGGAAAUAUAAAAUGACGACUCACAUGAAUUUUGUAAUGCACAAGAUACUUGAAAGAACCAAUAGUCAAAAGUGAAUCAAUUGAAGACAUGGGCUUUAGCAGACAUGCUUUUUAUUGAGCUACAAUCCUUUAAUUAUUAUUUUAAUCACUACAUGGAUUUGUACAAGAGCAAGUCUUUUUAUUCUGCAUUACACUAUUAAAUCAAAGACUUUAGACAACCAUUUAAACUGAAGUUGUUCUCUGCAUUUAUGUAAGAGCGAGUGUUUUUAAUCUGUAUUCCACUGUUCAAUUAAAGUCUCUAGACAACCAUUUAAAAAUGAAGUUAUUCUUCAGCUGUCCUGCUUCCACUCUUUUGGUGUAUUUGAAAUCUAUUUUGUUUUGUCUUAUGGUCCUUUUUGUUUUUAUCUCUUUACGUUUCUGUUAUUCAUAACUGUAGUUCUUUGAUUUUGUAGGGAUCUUAUCUACAAGCCAGUUGUUCUUGGUAAGAGAGGACCAUUUCAACUCAACGUUUAGAAGAUUCCAUUAUUCUAUAGAAUAAUCUGCUGUUUUUCACUGCAGCAUGUGGUCAUAUUUCUUGCUUCUGGUGUGUACAUAAAGCCAUGCAUGGUGUGCAAGAAUCACAUUGUGCUUUAUGCAGGAAGCCAUAUAUUCAUUUUCCUAGUAUUUGUCAAUUACUCCAUCAAUUGCUUUUAAACUUGGAACCUGCUGCAUACAAAAGAAGGGAAAAGGAGGUGCUAGGUGAGUUCUAACAUCUGAGUACCAAAUGCAUAAAAACUUCAGGCUAUAAAUGUGAUAUGCCUUCCAAACCUCAUACUAUUUGAAGAAAUGAUUGACACAUAUAUGUACCGUGUAGACAUGUGAAUGUCCUUAUCCUAGUAAACAGAUGUAGAUUAUGGUAUGGCAAUAAAUGAAUUCAACUGCUUUGGUAUAUAUAGCUACAGAAUACUAACUGCUUAUGCUCAGGAUGCAUCCAAAGGUUGAGGGACACAUAAAUUAUUUUGCACAGAAUGUCGAUGAAACAAUCACAAUGAGAUGACAAAUUAGUGGUCUUAUUUACGAGCAUAAGUAGCUAUAACAAUUUAUUCUUCACAAACAUCCAUGGAUCUUCUAGUGGUUAAAAUGAAAAAUCAUCCUAAUCUACUUCCGAUUGAUCCUUCCCCAAGUUUGUACUAGAAAUAUUAUCAUUUCACGCUAGUCUCCUCCAUCGCUUCGUAAAGACCAGAAAAUUGACCAGAAAAUUGAGCUUAAUUAAGGGCAAAACUAUUAAACUUGUCUAUAAUUUUCUUGCUCAGCAUAUUGCAUUUACCAAAUGCAUUUAGGGGCAGUUUGGUUUGAUGUUAUUGCAAAUGCAUUGUAAUCAAGGAUGCAUGUAGUUGAAAAUGCAGCAAUUACAACCGUGUGCAUCUUGUUUAGUUGGAUGUAGUAGAAAAAUAUUGCAACUAUAGAUAAUAUGUUAGGUUGCAUGAAGUUGAGAAGUGUAUUUACAAAAUUUUAUCACUUUAUAUAUAGGGUGGUCAGCAAGGAUUUAAGUGCCCAUUAGCACGGGCGUAUCUAUCGUGCCAACAAGAUAUCGGCACGAUACAGCCUACAUGCCUCGUGCCGAUGGCACGACUCAAAACUCUCUUUUCUUUAAAUUAGUAUAUAAUUUUCUCUAUAAAAUUUAAAAGAUUUGAUAAAGAUACAUAAUAAGCAAUUAGAAUAUUUUGUUGUUAAAUUAAACGAAUACAUUAUGUGUUAGCACACUUAUAUUUUUUGUGACCGGGACUCAUUGGCACGACUCACGGCAAUUAAAUCCUUGGUGGUGAGAUCACCCCCAAUGUAAAAGAAAAAAUAUUUUUUGUUUAGAAGGUGACUAGGAGGCAGGCUUAUCUUUUGUUUUAAGUUACUUUCUCCAACUACUAGAGUUGGAAUUGCAGCUAAUUUGGGAAUAGUUCACUGUUGCAGUUGAUCCUCCUUGUGCAGUUUCAACUGUAGCAGCGGAAUUUAAAUGCAUCAAACUCAGCACCUAAUUUUGAUCUGCAUGCAAUUACAACUACAGUGCAGUUACAACUAUAUGCAACCAAACAGUCCCUUAAUUCCUUUAUUUCAUCUCAUUUCUCUCAUCCAACUAAGAAUAAGUGUUCUGGUGCAAUUUAUGUUGAUCCAAGAUCAGUAAUUUAUACCAGCUUGCAACUCUUGCUUUCCUUAUAUCAAAUUAACGUUUUCCAUACAUUCACUUUCUUGAUAAUUACCUUCUUCAUUUUGCACACUUUAAAUGUUACUUAUUUUUGUCUUGUUAAAUCUAUAUUCUAGAGGAAGAAAAGCGACUUAAGGUCUACUCACCUCAGUUUGUAGAUCGUCUAAUCUCCAAAGAGACUCACUCUGGUAAGAAUCUUGUCUUAGCAUUGCUGAACCGGAAUAAUUAUGUCUCUUAAUAAUUGCAACACGUUGUAUUUCGUUGAUAAGUUCACCUGUAUUCUGUAAGCGAAUGGCAAUUGUAAGGAUACAUUUGGAGCCAGGAGCAGUACAGCUGCAAAAGAGCCGAGUGCUACAGAACAUGACCUAGUUGAUGAUGCAUCAUUUCCCUUGUCCAAGAGAGUUUCCACAGAUGAUGUAUUAAAGAAAGUUUCUGUGGAUGAUGUAUUAUGCUCCAUAUGCAAGGCGCUGCUUUAUAGACCUGCUGUUCUUAAUUGUGGCCAUGGUGAGUAUUUUUGUGCUUUCCAUGGUCGGUUGCUCGCUAAAAAUUCAGGAAAAAGAAAAAUGCCGACAAUUAUUUGAUUUUUUUAAUUGUGCAGUCUAUUGUGAAAAUUGUCUACUAAGCUUGAUUGGUGAAGAAUUAAAAUGUCAAAUUUGCCAAAGCCCACAUCCCGGUGGGUUUCCGAAUGUUUGCUUGUAUCUGGAUAAUUUCUUGGAAGAAACAUUCCCCGUGGAAUAUGCAUCAAGGAAAGAGAAAGUUAAGCUCAAAAAGAUCCAAUAUCACCAAGGAGAUUCAUCAUCUAGUAAGCUUUUAAUGCUACAUCUUCAGGAGUUGUACUUCUGGGUUUAUUCUAGUUGUUCGGACUUCAGUAACAAUGUAUCAUAGCUGUAUACAUCUUACCCCCUUUUCUUUUUACGCAGACCAUUGGUUUUGUCUUAUCGCCAUUUGUUUUGCCUUAUCACUUAUCCAUAGUUAUGGUUUAUGAUAACAGAUGCUGCUUUUUGCUGUGGGCAAUCUUUGAAGCUCACUAAUUAAUAAGAAUCAUGCCUCUAAUAACUCCUUUGUGAUUGCAAUAUGCUUAGUCUAUCUAUUAGGCUUGCAAAAUAGUAACAUAUUAGGCCGACCAGGUGAAAUUUCUAUUUAAUUACUUUGCAUUAUUACGUCAGAAUCAUAUCACAGUAUGAGUUGGUGGACAGAUUAAUGUUGGUUUAACUUUGACCCUUUUUGUGACUUCUAGGUGCUGAGCCAGCAAAAAAGCAAGAGAGCAAACCUUUUCAGUUCAGCAAUAUAUGGCUGAAUGAAAAUGCGGCAAAUAUUCAUGCAGGAGUUGGCUGCGAUUCAUGCGGGGUAUGGUCUUUGAUAGUUCAUUUCUUUUCCCAGUAGUAAGAUUACCAAUUGUAAGAUUAUGAUUUGAGACCUUCUGCCGUCUUUAAAUCCAUCUAGAGAGGAAAAAAAAGGACAAUUUUUUCAAAUUCGGCUAACUUUAACUGACGUGCCACCAUCUUUCAACUUAGUAAACAAAACCAAGAGAUUGUUUACAAACCCUUUAAAAGAUAUUUUAUCUUUCCGUCCAGGUUUAUCCAAUUAUUGGGAAGCGGUACAAAUGCGAGGAUUGCAAAGAGGCAAUUGGCUUUGACCUAUGUGAAGAAUGCUACAAAAGCUGCUCAAAUCUUCCUGGCCGAUUCAAUCAGCAACACACUCAGGAUCACAAGUUUGUUCUCGAUGACUCGCGUACGUUCCAAAGGAUUCUGUGGUUGGCGAGGGGAGCAGGCGAUCACCUGCAAGUUGUCGAGGAAGGAGAACACUUGGUUCAUGUCGAUUUAGAGUUAGAAGCUCCGGAAUAUCUCGAGCCCAGGCCGGAGAGCGACGGAGAUGAUGACGACGGAACAAGACAAGACAGAUCAGGUUCUCUAUGAUUCCGAUGUUUACUCGUAUUUAGUAUAUGCUUUUAUGCUUAUCUUAUCUCGAAUACCGAUAGGUAAUACCAUGAGCUUGGUAAGUUUGCAUGGUGGUAUAAUCUGCAUCGUCAAUGCUCAUGCGAUAUACCAUUCUCAAAAGUUAAAAGUUGUAUUUUCGAAAUAAGAUUUCUUUUCUGGGGGAGGAUGAAACAUGUUUUUGUGCUUGUUUGUUUGUUUUUAUGUGAGCAUUAUUCAAUGCGAGAAUCAUUUAUGAUGAUUUGAACAAAGAUUGCUUCAAAGAAAAAUCUUUAUGAUGGGGAGAUAUGGUGAUGAUGAUUGUAGUGAGAGAAAUGGUAAUCAAUGGUUUAGGAUGGGCGUAGAAAAUUGCGGCCGUGGCGGCGGGGGCAGCAAAAGUGAUACUUAGUAGUGGUGAAGAAAGCGAUAGCGAUAACGAUAGCGGCGACGGUGGUGGCGGUGGCAAAUUUGGUCUCCGUGGUGGAGGAAUUUUUUUCUUUCUUUUUUUUUUUCCUUUUCAUCAAAAGUGCUGUUAGCAAAGGCAUUAUAUUAGCAGAGAUAUACUAAUAUUAACUUUGGGAAAGCAAAAGUUUUUGCUUUUUAGAUUUGCUAAGCUUUUUAUUGUAAAUAACUGUAGUUAAAAAUAGAAGCAAUAGUUGAACAAAGUCCCAGUUUUUUUGUUGUUUUUCUUCACCAAAUAAUCAGCUGCUGAUUGAGAUGCGGUUGUACGGCCGUGGCUGAAGCAGUAAAAACUUCAAAAACCGAGUCUACUCCCACUCUACUCCCACUGUCGUCUUGAAGAGACUCUUCAACUUUGACUCUUUCGUCUCUGUUGUUUAUUAUCAGCAAAAUGCAUCAGAAUUAAAUCCUUUUUCUAAAAGAAACUUGCAAUUUUGACCUAGCGGAACGCGUAAUAGCAUGCUAUUUAAUUUGUUUAUUUAUCCAUAAGUAAAUUUAGGUAAAAGUAUGAAGACUUUGGAUAUCAGUCUUAAGUCUUUUUGUCUGUUGUUGAACAACUUUUUAAUCAUACUUUCUUGGAAAGCUUCAAAUACCAUUCUAGUAAUUUCGCACUUUUUCACUUCAGUGUUCUGUGGUUUAAAGUGUAUCACUUUCGCAUCUUGUGAUUUUUUUUUCUUUUUGUUAUCCCUUUCAUUAAUUUUUUUUUUUUAAAUUAGUGAUAAAGUUAAAACUAAAAUGUACUAAAGUGAAUAUUCGAUAAAUUAUAAAUGAGGUAUCGAAAGAUUUUUAUAUGUGAUUUAACGAAAAAUUAACGGAAGGACUGACGAAAAGAAAAAAAUAAAAUUAUAAGGUACUAAAUUAAUAUAUUUUAAAAUAUAGAAUAUUAAAGUAAGAAAGUGCGAAACUACGGAGGUGGUAUGUGAAGUUUAUACUUACUUUUUAUAAGCAAGUAGUUUUAUUAUUAUCUGUGAUUAGAUCUUCAUUUAUCAUCUAUAUGGGUUCUCCUUAAUAAUAAUAAGAUUAGUUUGGAUGUACGGAAAAAAGUGAUUUUUUUCUGUAUAACACUGUAGAGUAACUGUGCCCCGCAUCAUCAUGCACGAGCCACGAAGAGGGGGAGGGGGUAUACUCAUUUUUAUUUGUCUUUUCUACUUGGAGACUCUCUCUCUCUCUCUCUCUCUCUCUCUAUACGUUUGGACGUGUAAUGAGCAAACAAAUUAACGUGACAGGAUCGAAGGAAAAAAUGGGAAGGUGUUCAUACUUCAUUCCAAGUGGAACAAAAAUCAAUUAAGGGCCGUUGGAUAUCGAGCUCAUCUGACGUUAAUAAAUAAAAUAAAAUUUUAAAAAAUAUAAAUAUGAUUUUGUGUUCUUUUAAUGGAAUGUAAAAAAUAUAUGGCAAUCAAUUCUUUAGAAUAUGCGGAACGUAAUAUUUCGUGGUAUUUUUUUAUUGCACAAAAUCUAUUCUUUCCGUAAUCUAAAUAUAUCUCAUUUUUUUGAGAGAGAUAGGUAGCACGUUAUCCGUUUCGUUUAUUUUAUUUAAAAAUAAACUUAGCUGAAAAUGUGAAUCAACUAGGAUUCGAACUUAGGAUCUCUGGUACCAACCACCAAGUCCUUUGCCACUUGCUCUAGCGACGGUCUAUAUUAUCACCAAAUAUUAAGGGGUUGUUUGGUUGCAUGUAGUUGCAACUGUACAGCAGUUGUAACUGCAUGCAAAUGCAAAUUCGGUGUUUGGUUUGAUGUAUUUAACUCCAAUUGCUGCAGUAGGAACUACAGAAAGAGGUCCAACUGCAACAGUCGGAACUACGCCCAUAUUGGCCGCAAUUCCAACUACAGCAGUUGGAAAGUGUAACUUUAAACAAAAGAUAGCCUUAACCCUUUAAAUAUAUAUAUAUAUAUAUAUAUUGAGAGAAAGGUAGCUUGCUAUCCGCUUUGUUUAUUUCAUUUAGAAAUAAACUUAGUUGGAAAUGUGAAUCAAUUAGGAUUCGAACUUGGGUCUUGGGUACCAACCAUCAAACCCUUUUGCCACUUGCGUUAGGGACAGUCAGUCUCUUUAGAUAUUUUUUAAACAAAAAAAAAAAAAAAUUUACAUUGGAGGUAAUCUCACCAUCAUAUAUAUAAAAUGAUAAAAUUUUAAAAAUUAUUUCUCAACUGCUUGCAACCAAACAUAUUAUUUAUAGUUGCAGCGCUUUCUACUACAUCCAACCAAACGUUCAAACAUGAUGCAUAUAGUUGUAACUGCUGCAUUUCUAACUGCAUGUAUUUCUAAUUAUAUUGUAUUUGUAAUUACAUCUAGCCAAGCGGCACCUAAGAGAGAGAGAAAGGAAAUACUAGCUACACCACCCAAAAAAUGAUUCUCUGGUGAUCCAAUACGCUAUAACAUCAUCUUGCCCUCAUCAAACCUUUUUAAAAAAUUCACAAAAAAAAUUGUAUCAUCUUUUUAACUUGUAAUUAUUAAAUUAAUUGUUAGGAUUUGGUUAGAUUUGUAAAUUAAUUCUAAUUGGAUAAGAAUUAAUAUUUAAAUCUGUUGGAGAUAAAUUAAGAUUUAAAUAUUAAUUAGAAUAUGAAUCUAACUAGAUUAAGAUAAUAUUUAAAUCUAUUGGAGGUAAAUUAAGAUUUAAAUAUUUAUUAGAGUAGAAAUUCUAAAUAUAUUAGAAUUCUGGUACGUUUUGAUGUAAGUUUUAUAAAUAGCUUCAUUGGUGGAGAGCUUGAGUAGUAUGGCCAAAUUGAGAUUCUUGAGAGGGUACGGUAAGAUGUCUUGAAGCCAUUGGUGGACUGUACCAAAGUUUGGCUAUGAGUUGCAUGCAUCUAGUGCACAGGUGCAUGUGAGAGAGAAAAAGUGAAGGAUUGUCUUCUUUGUGAGUUUAUAGAAGACGAGAGAAGAGUAAAAGAGAUUCAGAAAAACGGCUUGAGUUGUAGUUACUCAGUUGCAGAAGAGGAGUCAUGUAUUUGUUUUUUUUUUUCUUUCGUGAUUGUAUCAGUUUUUGCUGAAGAGAUGGAUUUAUGAUAAAAACCCGAUUUGAUGCUUCCGUUGCGGAAUCCUAACAAUCAGUACCAGAUCCACAGCAGUCGGUAUCGGAGCGAGUUGCAGACUCUCAAAAUCUAGUACCGGGGCACGUAUCGGAUUCCAAACAUUAACUUAGAUUACAUGCCCCAAGAAUUUAUAUUACUUGCUAUAAAUUAUUUUUUGAGAGAAAUGUAGCGAGCUAUCCGUUUCAUUUAUUUUUUCUUUUUGAAAAAUAAAUUCAACUAAAAAUAUGAAAUAAUUAGGUUUUAAAUUUAGAGACUUCAUAUACCAACCAUCAAAAACCUUUACCAACUGUGAUAAGUACGGUCGUUUACUUUUAAGAGGUCCAUGUAGCAUAAAGUGGUAAGAGAGUACGCCAAAUUCUUGUUUAUUUCCUAUUUUACCCUCGCUGGGGUGGUCAUUAUAAACUGUUAUCUAUUAGAUUUAGAAUUCAGUAACAAGUAUCAGAGCCAAUUCUAAUCUCUCGCCCUGAGGUCAUAGAAACAAACCAAAUUGUCUUAAAGUAAACAACUUAACAUAAUAAUGCAAUGCCUAUUGAAUAUUGAUUCUCAAUCUUAUUGCACAGGUUGCACUUUGUGCUCAAACCUUGAUUUGUUGUUCUCAAUUUAUUCUUCACAUUAGGUUUCACCCCUUUUUUUUAUUUGAAUUAGACCAGGGGUUAAAUAGCAUGAAAUGACUUUUGGGGAUUUUCUUAACGCCCAACUUAGUAUGUGGCAAUAACACCAAAUGUAACACUUCUAGAAUCUGAAAUAGUUCUAUAUAUGAAAUGUAAGAGAACUAAACCUCUUAAUCCAGUUGUAAUAUUUUGGAUAGUGAUUAAGUCCAAAAGAUUAAGAUAGUUCAGCGUUUUAUGGCUAAAGGACUUCUAGGAUGAGUGACUCUUCUGGAAGGCAGAGUAUCACAGUUAAUAUCAAAGCCAAUCACCAGUCGAAAGUAUGAGGAGAAUUUCAACUGAGCUAUGGUCAUAUAGUGGGUAUAGCACGGCUAGCUCCCUGGCUGAUAAUUGUUGUGGACAAAGUGUGGCUCCUUGGUACUAGCGAGACAAGUUUUACGUCGCCUGAUGCUUGUAAGUGUCUAAGAGGCUAAGCCCAAAAGAUUAUAAGAGUUAAGCGUAUUAAAGUUAGAAUAAUUCUAGAAUGGAUGAUCCUUUUAAGAAGUGAGGUGUCAUACCAAAUUAUCCUUCAAUCAAAUACAAAAAUCUAUAUAACAACAAAUUUUAACUUCACCAAAUCAUUUCUAACGCAAGUGACAAAAGAUUUAAUAAAUGAUACUCGAGGCCGCAAGUUCAAAAGUUUAGUUACUUUUCAUGCAUGUUCAGCUAAUUUUAUUAAAAAACAAUGAAGCAAGCGGAUAAUAUACUAUCUCUUUCACAAAAAAUAAAAUUUGACGCCAACU
This 33258-nucleotide long non-coding RNA is filed under the name Ananas comosus (pineapple). Its description in RNAcentral is "long non-coding RNA (ACOM_LNC004867)". Lineage: Eukaryota; Viridiplantae; Streptophyta; Magnoliopsida; Poales; Bromeliaceae. The record is from RNAcentral.